AGAAAAGAAGAGUCUAGGAACCGCCCGGAGGCAAAAUUGCACCGCUGGGCGGUCUAGUGCGAGGAGGAGGCACCUGGCGACGCUGAGCGGAUUUACGAUCAGAGGCAAACCGCCGGGCGGUGGCCCCCUGCCGCCGAGCGGUGGCGCAAUUAGGGCCAAACCGCCGGGCGGCAUAAAUGUGCCGUCGGGCGGUUGUCCGCUGGGCCUAAGCCUGUUUUCUGUGACACUCCUCAGCUAUAAAUAACCCUGUGACCGUUCUUGGGUUGAUUUCGUUUUCGGGCCCCACGGUGGGCGCCAAAUGUUCCAGUAUAUAGGGUCCGAAACCGAGAUGCCUGAGUUCCACCCCUCCUCCCGAUCGACCAACUUGCUCGUUUACUAUGUUCUCUUGAAUACUGAACGGGGGCGUCCUGCAAAGAAAAUACUCUGACGCUCAAGUUAGAUAGGUCUCCAAGAAAUUGGGUGAAUCUUAUUAUUAGAAAAGUGUGUUUUCCUGACCAAGGAUUUCCUAUUUAUAAAUCACGUGUUCAUAACUGACCAUUAAUUUUCGUAAACCGUCGUAUCUUCCGUUACUUUUCCAUUGAAACUAAUAAAUGCUUCUCAACGCCACCACCAUUAUAGCUUUAAGUCCCUUAUGCGUUUGGUGCCACCGGUCAUCUUGCAUGCGGGCUUUACUCCCUCCCAUCCCUCCGAUCGGUCUGACCGACCCCUUACACUACACUUAUACAUUUUCCAAAUGUAUUAUCUAAAGAAUUACAAAAGUAAAAAAAUAUUACUAAAUUACCUUAUUUUUCCAUUUCUUAAUUUAUUUAUUUUUCAACCUUCUAUUUUUUAUUAAUUCAAAAACAAUGAAAUCCAGCUUAGAAUUUGA
Molecule: long non-coding RNA, 868 nt
Filed under: Vigna radiata
Lineage: Eukaryota; Viridiplantae; Streptophyta; Magnoliopsida; Fabales; Fabaceae
Description: long non-coding RNA (VRAD_LNC005365)
Source: RNAcentral